This 634-nucleotide ribosomal RNA is filed under the name uncultured bacterium. RNAcentral's name for it is "bacterial SSU rRNA". The stretch from base 1 to 541 matches the Rfam family "Bacterial small subunit ribosomal RNA", at positions 338 to 873 of the family's 1533-position model. The record is from RNAcentral.
CCUACGGGAGGCAGCAGUGGGGAAUUUUGGACAAUGGGCGCAAGCCUGAUCCAGCCAUGCCGCGUGCAGGAUGAAGGCCUUCGGGUUGUAAACUGCUUUUGUACGGAACGAAAAGACUCUGGUUAAUACCUGGGGUCCAUGACGGUACCGUAAGAAUAAGCACCGGCUAACUACGUGCCAGCAGCCGCGGUAAUACGUAGGGUGCGAGCGUUAAUCGGAAUUACUGGGCGUAAAGCGUGCGCAGGCGGUUAUAUAAGACAGAUGUGAAAUCCCCGGGCUCAACCUGGGAACUGCAUUUGUGACUGUAUAGCUAGAGUACGGCAGAGGGGGAUGGAAUUCCGCGUGUAGCAGUGAAAUGCGUAGAUAUGCGGAGGAACACCGAUGGCGAAGGCAAUCCCCUGGGCCUGUACUGACGCUCAUGCACGAAAGCGUGGGGAGCAAACAGGAUUAGAUACCCUGGUAGUCCACGCCCUAAACGAUGUCAACUGGUUGUUGGGUCUUCACUGACUCNGUGACGAGACUACGACGUGAGUAGACCGCCGUGGGAGGACGGCCGCGAGGUUAGUAAACGUUAAAGGUAAAGUUAGUACGGCGUAGAGACGUAGACCGACGGACGACGACGAGGGGAGGAGGG